CUCGCUGGGCAGGCUAGAGGGCUUACAGAAGCAGAAAGAAGGCAGUUAAUCAAACUGACAGGUCUUGCAACGCAAGCAUAGCUGGUGACCUUGCAGCUGCACUGAAGGGAAGUCAGGAACUUACAAAACCAGAAAUGGUAAGGGGGAAAGAGAAGGUAGUAAAGGCAUUUGUUGUUUUUUCCUCUUAUCCUUAUCCGUGCUAGGGGCGGACUG
This 213-nucleotide long non-coding RNA is filed under the name Homo sapiens (human). RNAcentral's name for it is "non-protein coding lnc-PPIAL4F-13:1". Lineage: Eukaryota; Metazoa; Chordata; Mammalia; Primates; Hominidae. The record is from RNAcentral.